Schistosoma rodhaini is the source of this 48-nucleotide non-coding RNA. NCBI's taxonomy places the organism in Eukaryota, Metazoa, Platyhelminthes, Trematoda, Strigeidida, Schistosomatidae. The record is from Rfam.
AUCCAGACGACGAGUUCUAAAUAGGACGAAACGCACCUCAAACUGGAU